This 106-nucleotide non-coding RNA is filed under the name Pseudodesulfovibrio indicus. RNAcentral describes it as "TPP sequence". It matches the Rfam family "TPP riboswitch aptamer (THI element)". From Rfam's summary of the family: Vitamin B(1) in its active form thiamin pyrophosphate (TPP) is an essential coenzyme that is synthesised by coupling of pyrimidine and thiazole moieties in bacteria. The record is from RNAcentral. Lineage: Bacteria; Pseudomonadati; Thermodesulfobacteriota; Desulfovibrionia; Desulfovibrionales; Desulfovibrionaceae.
CUUUGCAGCUAGGGGGGCCUCUAAUGAGGCUGAGAUGGAUCAUUGCAUCCGACCCUUUGAACCUGAUUCGGGCAAUACCGACGUAGGGAAGCUGCAUCAAGAUCGA